This 612-nucleotide ribosomal RNA is filed under the name Hysterangium fragile. RNAcentral's name for it is "eukaryotic LSU rRNA". It matches the Rfam family "Eukaryotic large subunit ribosomal RNA", at positions 43 to 631 of the family's 3401-position model. The record is from RNAcentral. Lineage: Eukaryota; Fungi; Basidiomycota; Agaricomycetes; Hysterangiales; Hysterangiaceae.
UCAAUAAGCGGAGGAAAAGAAACUAACAAGGAUUCCCCUAGUAACGGCGAGUGAAGCGGGAAGAGCUCAAAUUUGUAAUCUGGCGGUCUUCGGCCGUCCGAGUUGUAGUCUGGAGAAGCGUCUUCCGUGCCGGACCGUGUACAAGUCCCUUGGAACAGGGCGUCGUAGAGGGUGAGAAUCCCGUCUCUGACACGGACCGCCGGUGCUCUGUGAUGCGCUCUCGAAGAGUCGAGUUGUUUGGGAAUGCAGCUCAAAAUGGGUGGUAAAUUCCAUCUAAAGCUAAAUAUUGGCGAAAGACCGAUAGCGAACAAGUACCGUGAGGGAAAGAUGAAAAGCACUUUGGAAAGAGAGUUAAACAGUACGUGAAAUUGUUGAAAGGGAAACGCUUGAAGUCAGUCGCGUCUUCCGAGACUCAACUGGGUUUUUUACCCGGUGUACUUCUCGGUGUCGACGGGCCAGCAUCGAUUUCGACCGUCGGAGAAAGGCUCUGGGAAUGUGGCACCUUCGGGUGUGUUAUAGCCCUCUGUCGUAUGCGACGGUCGGGAUCGAGGACCGCAGCGUGCCCUUCACCGGGCCGGGGUUCGCCCACGUAACGCGCUUAGGAUGCUGGCG